Molecule: ribosomal RNA, 440 nt
Filed under: uncultured bacterium
Lineage: Bacteria
Description: partial 16S ribosomal RNA
Rfam family: Bacterial small subunit ribosomal RNA
Source: RNAcentral
CCUACGGGAGGCAGCAGUGGGGGAUAUUGGACAAUGGGGGAAACCCUGAUCCAGCGAUGCCGCGUGAGGGAAGAAGGUUCUUGGAUUGUAAACCUCUGUGGAUGGGGACGCUAAUGACGGUACUCCUACAGCAAGCCACGGCUAACGACGUGUCAGCAGCCGCGGUCACACGUAGGUGGCGAGCGUUGUCCGGAAUUACUGGGUGUAAAGGGAGCGUAGGCGGGAAAGCAAGUCAGAAGUGAAAACUGUGGGCUUAACCCAUAGCCUGAAUUUGAAACUGUUUGUCUUGAGUGAAGUAGAGGCAAGCGGAAUUCCUGGUGUAGCGGUGAAAUGCGUAGAUAUUAGGAGGAACACCAGUGGCGAAGGCGGCUUGCUGGGCAUUAACUGACGCUGAGGCUCGAAGGCGUGGGGAGCAAACGGGAUUAGAUACCCGAGUAGUC